Molecule: ribosomal RNA, 505 nt
Filed under: uncultured bacterium
Lineage: Bacteria
Description: partial 16S ribosomal RNA
Rfam family: Bacterial small subunit ribosomal RNA
Source: RNAcentral
GACGAACGCUGGCGGCGUGCCUAAUACAUGCAAGUAGAACGCACAGUCUAUACCGUAGCUUGCUACACCAUAGCCGGUGAGUUGCGAACGGGUGAGUAACGCGCAGGUAACCUGCCUGGUAGCGGGGGAUAACUAUUGGAAACGAUAGCUAAUAUCGCAUAAUAUUAAUUAUUGCAUGAUAAUUAAUUGAAUGGUGCAAUUGUACCGCUACAAGAUCGCCCUGCGUUGUAUUAGCUAGUAGGAGAGGUAACGGCUCACCUAGGCGACGAUACAUAGCCGACCUGAGAGGGUGAUCGGCCACACUGGGGCUGGGACACGGCCCAGACUCCUUCGGGGAGGAGCAGUAGGGAAACUUCGGCAAUGGGCGGAAGGCUGAACGAGCAACGCCGCGGGGGGGGAGGAGGUUUUCGGAUCGUAAAGCUCCGUUGUAAGGGAAGGAAGAGUGUGGGAGUGGAAAGUGCACACUGUGACGGUAUCUUACCAGAAAGGGACGGCUAACUACGUG